RNAcentral lists this unclassified non-coding RNA (304 nucleotides) under fungal sp. Its description in RNAcentral is "partial contains 5.8S ribosomal RNA, internal transcribed spacer 2, and large subunit ribosomal RNA". The stretch from base 1 to 105 matches the Rfam family "5.8S ribosomal RNA", at positions 50 to 154 of the family's 154-position model. Lineage: Eukaryota; Fungi. RNAcentral also lists the same sequence under 1 other name. The record is from RNAcentral.
GAAAUGCGAUAACUAAUGUGAAUUGCAGAAUUCAGUGAAUCAUCGAGUCUUUGAACGCACAUUGCGCCCCCUGGUAUUCCGGGGGGCAUGCCUGUCCGAGCGUCAUUGCUGCCCUCAAGCACGGCUUGUGUGUUGGGCUCCGUCCCCCCGGGGACGGGCCCGAAAGGCAGCGGCGGCACCGAGUCCGGUCCUCGAGCGUAUGGGGCUUUGUCACCCGCUCUGUAGGCCCGGCCGGCGCCAGCCGACAACCCAUCAUCCUUUUCAGGUUGACCUCGGAUCAGGUAGGGAUACCCGCUGAACUUAA